RNAcentral lists this long non-coding RNA (765 nucleotides) under Vigna radiata. RNAcentral's name for it is "long non-coding RNA (VRAD_LNC010607)". Lineage: Eukaryota; Viridiplantae; Streptophyta; Magnoliopsida; Fabales; Fabaceae. The record is from RNAcentral.
GAAACAAAACAAAUUAAUUCAAAAAUCAUAGUGUAAUUGUCAAUGAAUAACAUCUCAAAAACUGACACAGUUGAUAGCAAGGGAUAUUGAGAGUUUCCGAAUUGCCUAAAAAGUUAUUUAAAAAAAUACCUAAAAACUAGAAUGAAAGUACCUUGGAAACAUUUGCCCUCCCUGGAUGAAGUACGUCAACAACCUGCAACACAAACAUGUAUAUAUAGAAGAAAGGAUUAGGGGUGCCAGCGCUAAGAAUCACUACCUCUUUAAUCAGGAAAACAACUUCUACAUUCCAUAAACUAGAAGACAACUAACUAAGAAACAUGAACCAUCUACUAGCCAACAAUCAUACAAAUGUGAAAAUCACGCCACUCGUUACAUGGACUAAGAUCAAACGUGCUAUAACAAUAGGCAAUUAAACAAAAUCGUUUCGUCAAGACACACGACUGAAUUAAAUAUACACGAUUCUCACAAAAGCACAUCCGAUCAGUCAGAAUCAUACGGCUAAUGGAUUACAAUUAUUACAGAUAUGUGAGCAGCAACAAAAAUCAGAAACAAAAAAUAAAUAAGACUCGGAAAAGCAGUUUAAACAAUCAUUUGCAUUUGCAGAUUCGCAUCGAAAAAAAAAAAAGUACAGGAAAACUCACAAACUGCUUCCUGGAAAGAAGCCUGUUAGUCAUGAACUUGCGAGUUCGAAUUGUAACAGCCUUGUCCGCCAUACUGUUGGAUGAGGUUUGGCACUGAAGAACUUCACACAGAUGCGGUUACAGC